RNAcentral lists this non-coding RNA (84 nucleotides) under human gut metagenome. RNAcentral describes it as "Glycine riboswitch". It matches the Rfam family "Glycine riboswitch aptamer", at positions 9 to 86 of the family's 94-position model. Rfam says of the family: This family represents the bacterial glycine riboswitch. Glycine riboswitches usually consist of two metabolite-binding aptamers domains with similar structures in tandem. The record is from RNAcentral.
ACGCUCUGGAAAAUCCCAUGUUUGUGGGUGCCGAAGGUGUAAGGUUCCAAUGGAGCUGAAUCUCUCAGGCAAACAGACAGAGAA